RNAcentral lists this ribosomal RNA (465 nucleotides) under Haptophyta environmental samples. RNAcentral's name for it is "SSU rRNA". It matches the Rfam family "Eukaryotic small subunit ribosomal RNA", at positions 432 to 900 of the family's 1831-position model. The record is from RNAcentral. Lineage: Eukaryota; Haptophyta.
GCGCGUAAAUUGCCCGAAUCCUGACACAGGGAGGUAGUGACAAGAAAUAACGAUACAGGGCUACAUCUAGUCUUGUAAUUGGAAUGAGUACAAUUUACAUCUCUUAACGAUGAUCAAUUGGAGGGCAAGUCUGGUGCCAGCAGCCGCGGUAAUUCCAGCUCCAAUAGCGUAUAUUAAAGUUGUUGCAGUUAGAACGCUCGUAGUCGGAUUUCGGGGCAGUCCGACCGGUCUGCCGAUGGGUAUGCACUGGCCGGAGUGUCCUUUUUGCCGGAGACCGUGCCUACUCUUAACUGAGCGGGGGCGGGAGACGGCACUUUUACUUUGAAAAAAUCAGAGUGUUUCAAGCAGGCAGCUCGCUCUUGCAUGGAUUAGCAUGGGAUAAUGAAAUAGGACUUUGGUGCUAUUUUGUUGGUUUCGAACACCGAAGUAAUGAUGAGAAGGGACAGUCAGGGGCACUCGUAUUCC